UAAGGGAGCUUGUUCGCGAGCCGGGGGGUUGCGACCCGACGCGCGGAGACUGCAAACGCAACCUACGCACGUAGGCUUGGUUUUGGAUCGAGGCUCGGACCGGGGUUCGAUUCCCCGCGCCUCCAUCA
Molecule: transfer-messenger RNA, 128 nt
Filed under: Gemmatimonadota bacterium
Lineage: Bacteria; Pseudomonadati; Gemmatimonadota
Description: partial transfer-messenger RNA
Rfam family: transfer-messenger RNA
About the family: Bacterial tmRNA, also known as 10Sa RNA or SsrA, is named for its dual tRNA and mRNA-like properties. Its role is to liberate the mRNA from a stalled ribosome.
Source: RNAcentral